ACAGAGCAGACUGAAAGAGCGGGAAACUGAAGAAGAAGAAAAAGAAGAAGUAGAGCGCUCCAGUCCUGUCACAGCUCACCAGUGUUACGACAUCUGCGGC
This is a long non-coding RNA of Scomber scombrus (Atlantic mackerel), 100 nucleotides long. RefSeq lists it as uncharacterized. Lineage: Eukaryota; Metazoa; Chordata; Actinopteri; Scombriformes; Scombridae. The record is from RefSeq and is a predicted model, not a curated record. The transcript has 3 exons.